RNAcentral lists this ribosomal RNA (292 nucleotides) under uncultured bacterium. RNAcentral describes it as "partial 16S ribosomal RNA". It matches the Rfam family "Bacterial small subunit ribosomal RNA", at positions 505 to 796 of the family's 1533-position model. The record is from RNAcentral.
GUGCCAGCCGCCGCGGUAAUACGGAGGAUGCGAGCGUUAUCCGGAUUUAUUGGGUUUAAAGGGUGCGUAGGCGGAUUAAUAAGUCAGUGGUGAAAACCUUCAGCUUAACUGGAGAACUGCCAUUGAUACUGUUAGUCUUGAGUACGGUCAAGGUAGGCGGAAUGUGUAAUGUAGCGGUGAAAUGCUUAGAUAUUACACAGAACACCGAUUGCGAAGGCAGCUUACUGGGCCAUUACUGACGCUGAUGCACGAAAGCGUGGGGAGCGAACAGGAUUAGAUACCCUCGUAGUCC